AGUGAACGCUGGCGGUAGGCCUAACACAUGCAAGUCGAACGGCAGCACAGUAAGAGCUUGCUCUUACGGGUGGCGAGUGGCGGACGGGUGAGGAAUACAUCGGAAUCUACUUUUUCGUGGGGGAUAACGUAGGGAAACUUACGCUAAUACCGCAUACGACCUACGGGUGAAAGCAGGGGAUCUUCGGACCUUGCGCGAUUGAAUGAGCCGAUGUCGGAUUAGCUAGUUGGCGGGGUAAAGGCCCACCAAGGCGACGAUCCGUAGCUGGUCUGAGAGGAUGAGCAGCCAGACGGGAGCGAGGACGCGGCGGGGACGCGGGGGGGAGGGAGCAGAGUAGAAUACUGGACAAUCGGAGAAAGCGUGAUCCCGCCAUACCGGGUGGGUGAAGAAGUCCUUAGGGUUGCAAAGGACGUGGCAAGGGAAAGAAACGACGCAGGCUAACACCCCGCUGUACGGACGGUACCCAAAGAAUAAGCACCGGCGAACUUCGUGCCAGCAGCCGCGGUAAGAGAGGAAAGACACACGUCUAAAC
RNAcentral lists this ribosomal RNA (532 nucleotides) under uncultured bacterium. Its description in RNAcentral is "partial 16S ribosomal RNA". It matches the Rfam family "Bacterial small subunit ribosomal RNA", at positions 36 to 538 of the family's 1533-position model. The record is from RNAcentral.